This 433-nucleotide ribosomal RNA is filed under the name uncultured bacterium. Its description in RNAcentral is "partial 16S ribosomal RNA". It matches the Rfam family "Bacterial small subunit ribosomal RNA", at positions 28 to 507 of the family's 1533-position model. The record is from RNAcentral.
GACGAACGCUGGCGGCAUGCCUAACACAUGCAAGUCGAACGAAACCUUCCGGUCUUGGUGCGCACGUGUGCUUACCACGGGGUAACUUGCCCUUAGGUAAGGAAUAACUCCCUGAAAGGGGUCCUAAUACAGGUUAAUGUCUUCGCACCAACGAUCUUUCGCUUUUGGAUGGGCCCUCGUGGGAUUCGCCAGUUGGUAGGGGAAUAGCCGACCAUGGCCACGUUCCUUGGCUGGUCUGAGAGGAUGAUCAGCCACACUGGGACUGAGGCACGGCCCAGCAUCGGACGGGAGGGAGCAGUAGAGAAUAUAAGACAAGGGGCGAAAGCCUGACCAAGCAAUGCCGGGUGAGAGAUGAAGGCCUUAGGGUUGUAAAGCUCUUUUAGCCGGGAUGAUAAUGACAGUACCGGGAGAAUAAGCACCGGCUAACUACGUG